Molecule: transfer RNA, 72 nt
Filed under: Ictidomys tridecemlineatus (thirteen-lined ground squirrel)
Lineage: Eukaryota; Metazoa; Chordata; Mammalia; Rodentia; Sciuridae
Description: Spermophilus tridecemlineatus (thirteen-lined ground squirrel) tRNA
Rfam family: tRNA
About the family: Transfer RNA (tRNA) molecules are approximately 80 nucleotides in length.
Source: Rfam by way of RNAcentral
GCUGAUGUAGCUCAGUUGGAAGAGUGCUUGCCUCACAUGCACAAGGACCUCGGUUCAAUCCCCAGCAUCACA